RNAcentral lists this ribosomal RNA (532 nucleotides) under uncultured bacterium. RNAcentral describes it as "bacterial SSU rRNA". It matches the Rfam family "Bacterial small subunit ribosomal RNA", at positions 94 to 630 of the family's 1533-position model. The record is from RNAcentral.
CACGGCGCACGGGUGCGUAACACGUGGGCAAUCUGCCCUCCGAUGGGGAAUAACCCCGCGAAAGCGGGGCUAAUACCGCAUAACAUUCCUUGAGCGAUGGUUUGAGGAUUCAAAGCAGCAAUGCGUCGGAGGAGGAGCCCGCGCCCGAUUAGCUAGUUGGUGAGGUAAUGGCUCACCAAGGCAAUGAUCGGUAGCUGGUCUGAGAGGAUGAUCAGCCACACUGGAACUGAGACACGGUCCAGACUCCUACGGGAGGCAGCAGUGGGGAAUCUUGCACAAUGGGCGAAAGCCUGAUGCAGCGACGCCGCGUGGGGGAUGAAGCUUCUCGGAGUGUAAACCCCUUUCGCCUGGGACGAAUGCCCGCAAGGGAGUGACGGUACCAGGAUAAGAAGCCCCGGCUAACUACGUGUCAGCAGCCGCGGUAAGACGUAGGGGGCCAGCGUUGUUCGGAAUUACUGGGUGUAAAGGGUUCGUAGGCGGUGUGGCAAGUAGGGAGUGAAAUCUCUGGGCUCAACCCAGAGGCUGCUUCCAA